Molecule: long non-coding RNA, 205 nt
Filed under: Elaeis guineensis (African oil palm)
Lineage: Eukaryota; Viridiplantae; Streptophyta; Magnoliopsida; Arecales; Arecaceae
Description: long non-coding RNA (EGUI_LNC008485)
Source: RNAcentral
AGUGGUAUUAUUAUACUUUUUAUAUAAUAAAAUUUGAUUUUUUUUAUUUGGAUUGCUAUCAUACUAAUGAUUUAUUUAUUAUUGUUUAGGCCAGUCUCCACCAAUAGUGAGGUGAGGGCAAGGUCUAUCGAAGAACCAGACUCUAGAACAUUGAAGAUGUGAGCACCCAGGAUAGCAUCUUCGUAUUGAGAUACUACUUGGCUAC